AUACAGAGGGUGCAAGCGGUAUUCGGAAUUACUGGGCGUAAAGCGCGCGUAGGCGGACGAUUAAGUCAGUUGUGAAAGCCCUGGGCUCAACCUAGGAACUGCAUCUGAUACUGGUCGUCUAGAGUUUAAGAGAGGGAAGUGGAAUUCCAGGUGUAGCAGUGAAAUGCGUAGAUAUCUGGAGGAACAUCAGUGGCGAAGGCGACUUCCUGGCUUAAAACCGACGCUGAGGUGCGAAAGCGUGGGUAGCGAACGGGAUUAGAAACCCUAGUAGUCC
RNAcentral lists this ribosomal RNA (274 nucleotides) under uncultured bacterium. RNAcentral describes it as "partial 16S ribosomal RNA". It matches the Rfam family "Bacterial small subunit ribosomal RNA", at positions 523 to 796 of the family's 1533-position model. The record is from RNAcentral.